CAAUAGCGUAUAUUUAAGUUGUUGCAGUUAAAAAGCUCGUAGUUGGAUUUCGGGUGGGACGCAGCGGUCUCGCAUUGCGUUUGUACUGCUGCAGCCCUCCUUCUUGCCGGGGGCGGCCUCUCGGACUUCACUGUCUGGGGGUCAGAAUCGGCGAUGUUACUUUGAGUAAAUUAGAGUGUUCAAGGCAAGCUUACGCUCUGAAUAUAAUAGCAUGGGAUAACACGACAGGACUCUGGCCUAUCGUGUUGGUCUAUAGGACCAGAGUAAUGAUUAAGAGGGACAGUCGGGGGCAUUCGUAUUCCGUUGUCAGAGGUGAAAUUCUUGGAUUUACGGAAGACGAACAUCUGCGAAAGCAUUUGCCAAGGAUGUUUUCAUUGA
This 378-nucleotide ribosomal RNA is filed under the name uncultured eukaryote. RNAcentral's name for it is "partial 18S ribosomal RNA". It matches the Rfam family "Eukaryotic small subunit ribosomal RNA", at positions 592 to 976 of the family's 1831-position model. The record is from RNAcentral.